This 65-nucleotide transfer RNA is filed under the name Accumulibacter sp. RNAcentral's name for it is "tRNA-Ile". It matches the Rfam family "tRNA", at positions 5 to 66 of the family's 71-position model. From Rfam's summary of the family: Transfer RNA (tRNA) molecules are approximately 80 nucleotides in length. Their secondary structure includes four short double-helical elements and three loops (D, anti-codon, and T loops). The record is from RNAcentral. Lineage: Bacteria; Pseudomonadati; Pseudomonadota; Betaproteobacteria.
GGAUAGCUCAUUGGGUAGAGCAAUCGGCUCAUAACCGAUCGGUCGCGGGUUCGACUCCCGCUCCA